AAGUCGUAACAAGGUCUCCGUUGGUGAACCAGCGGAGGGAUCAUUACCGAGUUUACAACUCCCAAACCCAAUGUGAACGUUACCAAACUGUUGCCUCGGCGGGAUCUCUGCCCCGGGUGCGUCGCAGCCCCGGACCAAGGCGCCCGCCGGAGGACCAACCUAAAACUCUUUUUGUAUACCCCCUCGCGGGUUUUUUAUAAUCUGAGCCUUCUCGGCGCCUCUCGUAGGCGUUUCGAAAAUGAAUCAAAACUUUCAACAACGGAUCUCUUGGUUCUG
RNAcentral lists this unclassified non-coding RNA (276 nucleotides) under Trichoderma sp. RNAcentral describes it as "partial internal transcribed spacer region". The stretch from base 1 to 46 matches the Rfam family "Eukaryotic small subunit ribosomal RNA", at positions 1786 to 1831 of the family's 1831-position model. Lineage: Eukaryota; Fungi; Ascomycota; Sordariomycetes; Hypocreales; Hypocreaceae. The record is from RNAcentral.